AUGGUGGCCAGAGCCGGGGUGGAUGAUGAAGCAACGGUCUCGCGGUUGAAGACGAACAGCGACGGCGCGGGUAACAGUGGAGGUCAGAGGGCGUGGCGGUACGCUGAGGACGGCCGGCGAGGCAUGGCGGUCGAGGUCGCCAAGAAAGGGAGGCAGCAGGGGUGCGGCGAUGCGGAUGGCCUUGCGGGCCAUGCCGGGGACGGGCGAAGCGGUGACGAGGAGGCCGGGGUGCAGAAGAUGGCGAUGAGGAGAAGCAAGAGGAGAGGCAGCGCAGGAGGUCCGGCGCGGCGUCCUAGCGAGGCACGGUGCGGAGGAGGUGAUGGGCAGAGACGGGUGGGAUGA
Molecule: ribosomal RNA, 342 nt
Filed under: Triticum aestivum (bread wheat)
Lineage: Eukaryota; Viridiplantae; Streptophyta; Magnoliopsida; Poales; Poaceae
Description: partial small subunit ribosomal RNA
Source: RNAcentral